RNAcentral lists this long non-coding RNA (772 nucleotides) under Olea europaea (common olive). Its description in RNAcentral is "long non-coding RNA (OEUR_LNC008917)". Lineage: Eukaryota; Viridiplantae; Streptophyta; Magnoliopsida; Lamiales; Oleaceae. The record is from RNAcentral.
UUUUAAUGUCAAAAACGUAAACUAGAGAUUAAAAAUUCAUAUAACAAAGUUCAUCGUUUUCCUAGCACGAACAAGUCUACCCGAACAUAAUGGUGGAAUUAAAUAAAUACAAGUGGAACGAAAUCACCAAAAAUUGACGGAACGCGAUCAACAUCCAAAUUCCUUCCAAAGGCAAUCCGAAAUUAUUCCUUCAACAGCUUGCUGUCCGUCUCCGUUUUCGCGUCUUUGCCGUGUGUAAAUAAUAUGAAUAUGUAAUCUGCAGCCGCCAAUUCUAUUAUCCAAUUGAAAAUUCCAAUUCCGGCAGUCGAUUUGUCCUUAAUUUCCUCACAGCUUGGUUUCGGUUCCUUAUGUAUAUUUAUUUCCACCUUGCAGCCGCCUUUUGUAGUCUCAAUUAAUUCUCAGCUGCUGCCUUUUGUUUGUGUAUGUAUGCUUCAAUUCCUUCCCAGCAGCUGGCCGAUUUGUGGGAAUUAUGUACGUAUAUAAGUCAACUUUUCAGCCCACUCAGAUUUUAUCAAUUCCGUACUCAGUUUUCGGCCUCCAACUUGCCGUUUUUCUGCCUGUAUAUAAUAUAUUCAACUCAGCCCCGGCUUCACCAAUCUGAUUUCAGCUUUCUGUACGUAUAUAUACAAUUAAUUCCCAGCCUUGAGCCGCCGAUGUGCGUAUAUGAAUAAUCCCCAGAAGGGGUUCCAAUUAUCUCCCCCACGGCUGCUCUUUCUAUCUGUACGUGUGUAUCAUAUAUAUACCAAACAAUUAAGCCCUUUUGUAGUCUUGU